RNAcentral lists this ribosomal RNA (531 nucleotides) under uncultured bacterium. RNAcentral's name for it is "bacterial SSU rRNA". It matches the Rfam family "Bacterial small subunit ribosomal RNA", at positions 18 to 518 of the family's 1533-position model. The record is from RNAcentral.
CCUGGCUUAGGACGAACGCUGGCGGCGUGCCUAAUACAUGCAAGUCGAACGGCUUUUCUAUGGAAGCUUGCUUCCACUGAGAAGAUAGUGGGCGAACGGGUGAGUAACACGUGGGGUAACCCUGCCCAUAAGAGGGGGGAUAACAUCCGGAAACGGGUGCUAAUACCGCAUAGUUUUCUUGAUUGCAUGAUUGAGAAGGAAAGACGGCCUUUGUGCUGUCGCUUAUGGAUGGACCCGCGGCGUAUUAGUUAGUUGGUGAGGUAACGGCUCACCAAGACGAUGAUACGUAGCCGACCUGAGAGGGUGAUCGGCCACAUUGGGACUGAGACACGGCCCAAACUCCUACGGGAGGCAGCAGUAGGGAAUCUUCCGCAAUGGACGAAAGUCUGACGGAGCAACGCCGCGUGAGUGAAGAAAAGGUUUUCGGAUCGUAAAACUCUGUUGUCAGAGAAGAACAAGUUGGAGAGUAACUGCUCCAGCCUUGACGGUAUCUGACCAGAAAGCCACGGCUAACUACGUGCCAGCAGCGGC